RNAcentral lists this ribosomal RNA (378 nucleotides) under uncultured organism. RNAcentral describes it as "partial 16S ribosomal RNA". It matches the Rfam family "Bacterial small subunit ribosomal RNA", at positions 527 to 896 of the family's 1533-position model. The record is from RNAcentral.
GUAGGUGGCAAGCGUUGUCCGGAAUUAUUGGGCGUAAAGCGCGCGCUGGCGGUCCUUUAAGUCUGAUGUGAAAGCCCACGGCUCAACCGUGGAGGGUCAUUGGAAACUGGGGGACUUGAGUACAGAAGAGGAAAGCGGAAUUCCAAGUGUAGCGGUGAAAUGCGUAGAGAUUUGGAGGAACACCAGUGGCGAAGGCGGCUUUCUGGCCUGUAACUGACGCUGAGGCGCGAAACGCGUGGGGUAGCAAACAGGGAUUAGAUACCCUGGUAGUCCACGCCGUAAACGAUGAGUGCUAAGUGUUAGGGGGGUUUACCCGCCCCCGUUAGUGCUGCAGCUAACGCAUUAAGCACUCCGCCUGGGGAUACGGCCGCAAGGCUG